UCAUUUAAAGAAAGCGUAAUAGCUCACUGGUCGAGUCGGCCUGCGCGGAAGAUGUAACGGGGCUAAACCAUGCACCGAAGCUGCGGCAGCGACGCUUAUGCGUUGUUGGGUAGGGGAGCGUUCUGUAAGCCUGCGAAGGUGUGCUGUGAGGCAUGCUGGAGGUAUCAGAAGUGCGAAUGCUGACAUAAGUAACGAUAAAGCGGGUGAAAAGCCCGCUCGCCGGAAGACCAAGGGUUCCUGUCCAACGUUAAUCGGGGCAGGGUGAGUCGACCCCUAAGGCGAGGCCGAAAGGCGUAGUCGAUGGGAAACAGGUUAAUAUUCCUGUACUUAGUGUUACUGCGAAGGGGGGACGGAGAAGGCUAUGUUGGCCGGGCGACGGUUGUCCCGGUUUAAGCGUGUAGGCUGGUUUUCCAGGCAAAUCCGGAAAAUCAAGGCUGAGGCGUGAUGACGAGGCACUACGGUGCUGAAGCAACAAAUGCCCUGCUUCCAGGAAAAGCCUCUAAGCAUCAGGUAACAUCAAAUCGUACCCCAAACCGACACAGGUGGUCAGGUAGAGAAUACCAAGGCGCUUGAGAGAACUCGGGUGAAGGAACUAGGCAAAAUGGUGCCGUAACUUCGGGAGAAGGCACGCUGAUAUGUAGGUGAAGCGACUUGCUCGUGGAGCUGAAAUCAGUCGAAGAUACCAGCUGGCUGCAACUGUUUAUUAAAAACACAGCACUGUGCAAACACGAAAGUGGACGUAUACGGUGUGACGCCUGCCCGGUGCCGGAAGGUUAAUUGAUGGGGUUAGCGCAAGCGAAGCUCUUGAUCGAAGCCCCGGUAAACGGCGGCCGUAACUAUAACGGUCCUAAGGUAGCGAAAUUCCUUGUCGGGUAAGUUCCGACCUGCACGAAUGGCGUAAUGAUGGCCAGGCUGUCUCCACCCGAGACUCAGUGAAAUUGAACUCGCUGUGAAGAUGCAGUGUACCCGCGGCAAGACGGAAAGACCCCGUGAACCUUUACUAUAGCUUGACACUGAACAUUGAGCCUUGAUGUGUAGGAUAGGUGGGAGGCUUUGAAGUGUGGACGCCAGUCUGCAUGGAGCCGACCUUGAAAUACCACCCUUUAAUGUUUGAUGUUCUAACGUUGACCCGUAAUCCGGGUUGCGGACAGUGUCUGGUGGGUAGUUUGACUGGGGCGGUCUCCUCCUAAAGAGUAACGGAGGAGCACGAAGGUUGGCUAAUCCUGGUCGGACAUCAGGAGGUUAGUGCAAUGGCAUAAGCCAGCUUGACUGCGAGCGUGACGGCGCGAGCAGGUGCGAAAGCAGGUCAUAGUGAUCCGGUGGUUCUGAAUGGAAGGGCCAUCGCUCAACGGAUAAAAGGUACUCCGGGGAUAACAGGCUGAUACCGCCCAAGAGUUCAUAUCGACGGCGGUGUUUGGCACCUCGAUGUCGGCUCAUCACAUCCUGGGGCUGAAGUAGGUCCCAAGGGUAUGGCUGUUCGCCAUUUAAAGUGGUACGCGAGCUGGGUUUAGAACGUCGUGAGACAGUUCGGUCCCUAUCUGCCGUGGGCGCUGGAGAACUGAGGGGGGCUGCUCCUAGUACGAGAGGACCGGAGUGGACGCAUCACUGGUGUUCGGGUUGUCAUGCCAAUGGCACUGCCCGGUAGCUAAAUGCGGAAGAGAUAAGUGCUGAAAGCAUCUAAGCACGAAACUUGCCCCGAGAUGAGUUCUCCCUGACUCCUUGAGAGUCCUGAAGGAACGUUGAAGACGACGACGUUGAUAGGCCGGGUGUGUAAGCGCAGCGAUGCGUUGAGCUAACCGGUACUAAUGAACCGUGAGGCUUAACCUU
Molecule: ribosomal RNA, 1827 nt
Filed under: Escherichia coli 3-267-03_S3_C2
Lineage: Bacteria; Pseudomonadati; Pseudomonadota; Gammaproteobacteria; Enterobacterales; Enterobacteriaceae
Description: bacterial LSU rRNA
Rfam family: Bacterial large subunit ribosomal RNA
Source: RNAcentral